RNAcentral lists this ribosomal RNA (483 nucleotides) under uncultured bacterium. RNAcentral's name for it is "partial 16S ribosomal RNA". It matches the Rfam family "Bacterial small subunit ribosomal RNA", at positions 28 to 507 of the family's 1533-position model. The record is from RNAcentral.
GACGAACGCUGGCGGCGUGCUUAACACAUGCCAGUCGAACGCUGAAGCUCAGCUUUUGUUGGGUGGAUGAGUGGCGAACGGGUGAGUAACACGUGAGUAACCUGCCCCCUUCUUUGGGAUAACGCCCGGAAACGGGUGCUAAUACUGGAUAUUCACUGGUCUUCGCAUGGGGGUCGGUGGAAAGGGUUUUUCUGGUGGGGGAUGGGCUCGCGGCCUAUCAGCUUGUUGGUGGGGUGAUGGCCUACCAAGGCUUUGACGGGUAGCCGGCCUGAGAGGGUGACCGGUCACAUUGGGACUGAGAUACGGCCCAGACUCCUACGGGAGGCAGCAGUGGGGAAUAUUGCACAAUGGGCGCAAGCCUGAUGCAGCGACGCCGCGUGAGGGAUGGAGGCCUUCGGGUUGUGAACCUCUUUCGCUCAUGGUCAAGCCGCAACAAUGGUUGUGGUGAGGGUAGUGGGUAAAGAAGCGCCGGCUAACUACGUG